This 466-nucleotide ribosomal RNA is filed under the name uncultured bacterium. RNAcentral describes it as "partial 16S ribosomal RNA". It matches the Rfam family "Bacterial small subunit ribosomal RNA", at positions 28 to 507 of the family's 1533-position model. The record is from RNAcentral.
GACGAACGCUGGCGGCGUGCUUAACACAUGCAAGUCGAACGGAAAGGCCUCUUUCGGGGGGUACUCGAGUGGCGAACGGGUGAGUAACACGUGAGUAACCUGCCCUUGACUUUGGGAUAACUUCAGGAAACUGGGGCUAAUACCGGAUAGGAGCUCCUGCUGCAUGGUGGGGGUUGGAAAGUUUCGGCGGUUGGGGAUGGACUCGCGGCUUAUCAGCUUGUUGGUGGGGUAGUGGCUUACCAAGGCUUUGACGGGUAGCCGGCCUGAGAGGGUGACCGGCCACAUUGGGACUGAGGUACGGCCCAGACUCCUACGGGAGGCAGCAGUGGGGAAUAUUGCACAAUGGGUGGAAGCCUGAUGCAGCAACGCCGUGUGCGGGAUGACGGCCUUCGGGUUGUAAACCGCUUUCGCCUGUGACGAAGCGUGAGUGACGGUAAUGGGUAAAGAAGCACCGGCUAACUACGUG